RNAcentral lists this ribosomal RNA (20 nucleotides) under Urocystis agropyri. RNAcentral describes it as "partial 18S ribosomal RNA". Lineage: Eukaryota; Fungi; Basidiomycota; Ustilaginomycetes; Urocystidales; Urocystidaceae. The record is from RNAcentral.
GACCUGCAGAAGGAUCAUUA